RNAcentral lists this transfer RNA (73 nucleotides) under Ixodes scapularis (black-legged tick). RNAcentral's name for it is "tRNA-Thr". It matches the Rfam family "tRNA". From Rfam's summary of the family: Transfer RNA (tRNA) molecules are approximately 80 nucleotides in length. Their secondary structure includes four short double-helical elements and three loops (D, anti-codon, and T loops). Lineage: Eukaryota; Metazoa; Arthropoda; Arachnida; Ixodida; Ixodidae. The record is from RNAcentral.
ACCUGGUUAGCUCAGUUGGUAGAGCGCUCCACUUGUAAUGGAGAGGUCCCGGGUUCGAUACCCGGACCAGGCA